RNAcentral lists this ribosomal RNA (679 nucleotides) under Escherichia coli. RNAcentral describes it as "bacterial SSU rRNA". It matches the Rfam family "Bacterial small subunit ribosomal RNA", at positions 792 to 1468 of the family's 1533-position model. Lineage: Bacteria; Pseudomonadati; Pseudomonadota; Gammaproteobacteria; Enterobacterales; Enterobacteriaceae. The record is from RNAcentral.
AGUCCACGCCGUAAACGAUGUCGACUUGGAGGUUGUGCCCUUGAGGCGUGGCUUCCGGAGCUAACGCGUUAAGUCGACCGCCUGGGGAGUACGGCCGCAAGGUUAAAACUCAAAUGAAUUGACGGGGGCCCGCACAAGCGGUGGAGCAUGUGGUUUAAUUCGAUGCAACGCGAAGAACCUUACCUGGUCUUGACAUCCACGGAAGUUUUCAGAGAUGAGAAUGUGCCUUCGGGAACCGUGAGACAGGUGCUGCAUGGCUGUCGUCAGCUCGUGUUGUGAAAUGUUGGGUUAAGUCCCGCAACGAGCGCAACCCUUAUCCUUUGUUGCCAGCGGUCCGGCCGGGAACUCAAAGGAGACUGCCAGUGAUAAACUGGAGGAAGGUGGGGAUGACGUCAAGUCAUCAUGGCCCUUACGACCAGGGCUACACACGUGCUACAAUGGCGCAUACAAAGAGAAGCGACCUCGCGAGAGCAAGCGGACCUCAUAAAGUGCGUCGUACUCCGGAUUGGAGUCUGCAACUCGACUCCAUGAAGUCGGAAUCGCUAGUAAUCGUGGAUCAGAAUGCCACGGUGAAUACGUUCCCGGGCCUUGUACACACCGCCCGUCACACCAUGGGAGUGGGGUUGCAAAAGAAGUAGGUAGCUUAACCUUCGGGGAGGGGCGCUUACCACUUUGUGAU